UGCGCAGGUGGGCUUGUAAGUAAGUGGUGAAAUACUGCCGCUUAACGGUAGAACUGCCAUUGAUACUGCGAGUCUUGAGUAUGGUUGAGGUAGGCGGAAUGUGUUGUGUAGCGGUGAAAUGCAUAGAUAUGACACAGAACGCCGAUUGCGAAGGCAGCUUACUAAGCCAUUACUGACGCUGAGGCACGAAAGCGUGGGGAGCGAACAGGAUUAGAUACCCUGGUAGUCC
Molecule: ribosomal RNA, 229 nt
Filed under: uncultured bacterium
Lineage: Bacteria
Description: partial 16S ribosomal RNA
Rfam family: Bacterial small subunit ribosomal RNA
Source: RNAcentral